RNAcentral lists this ribosomal RNA (253 nucleotides) under uncultured bacterium. Its description in RNAcentral is "partial 16S ribosomal RNA". It matches the Rfam family "Bacterial small subunit ribosomal RNA", at positions 524 to 776 of the family's 1533-position model. The record is from RNAcentral.
UACGUAGGGUGCGAGCGUUGUCCGGAAUUAUUGGGCGUAAAGGGCUCGUAGGCGGUCUGUCGCGUCGGGAGUGAAAACUCAGGGCUUAACCCUGAGCCUGCUUCCGAUACGGGCAGACUAGAGGUAUGCAGGGGAGAACGGAAUUCCUGGUGUAGCGGUGGAAUGCGCAGAUAUCAGGAGGAACACCGGUGGCGAAGGCGGUUCUCUGGGCAUUACCUGACGCUGAGGAGCGAAAGCAUGGGGAGCGAACAGG